CCAAUAGCGUAUAUUAAAGUUGUUGCAGUUAAAAAGCUCGUAGUUGAAUUUCGGAAUCUGUCCGUUGGUCGGGCUUCAUUGUCCGUACUGGUGUGAUGGGUUCUUACCUUCUGAAUAACCAGCAUGCCAUUCAUUUGGUGCGUUGGGGAAGCAGGACUAUUACCUUGAAAAAAUUAGAGUGCUCAAAGCAGGCUAGUGCCUGAAUACAUUAGCAUGGAAUAAUAAAAUAGGACGGCAUGGUUCUAUUUUGUUGGUUUCUAGGAUCACCGUAAUGAUUAAUAGGGAUAGUUGGGGGCAUUAGUAUUCAAUUGUCAUAGGUGAAAUUCUUGGAUUUAUUGAAGACUAACUUCUGCGAAAGCAUUUGCCAAGGAUGUUUUCAUUAAUCAAGAACGAAAGUUAGGGGAUCGAAGACGAUCAGAUACCGUCGUAGUCUUAACCAUAAACUAUGCCGACUAGGGAUCGGACGAUGUUAAUUUUUUAAUGACUCGUUCGGCGCCUUACG
This 502-nucleotide ribosomal RNA is filed under the name uncultured Glomeromycotina. RNAcentral's name for it is "partial small subunit ribosomal RNA". It matches the Rfam family "Eukaryotic small subunit ribosomal RNA", at positions 591 to 1092 of the family's 1831-position model. The record is from RNAcentral. Lineage: Eukaryota; Fungi; Glomeromycota.